UUUUACUAUAAAUUAAUUGAUAAACCGAAUAAUUUUUGCAAAAAAAUACAUACAUAUUUAAUUUAUAAUUAGAUAAGCUGCAGAAAAUGAUCCAUUCUUCUUUGAUGUAAUUUGUUAAGACUUUGCUUACACUAACGUGAUAAUAAGACAAAAAGAAAUGAUGGACAAAAAUUAAAUACAUAGAAUAUAAAAUUUAUGGACAUACAGAUUAGA
This is a non-coding RNA of Cinara cedri, 213 nucleotides long. The record is from the annotation of a GenBank genome assembly. NCBI's taxonomy places the organism in Eukaryota, Metazoa, Arthropoda, Insecta, Hemiptera, Aphididae.